CCAAUAUCUAUCUAGCAGAUAGACACCUGUCAGGAAAUGCAUUCUCACAUGAAUUGUGCUCUAAGAAAAGACAGUUUAUAGUUUAUUUUUGUACCCGUCAGUCUAGCACAUCUCCUCAUACAUUUCUCCCCAUUCCACAAAGCUCUCUGGGGGCCUUGGCUAGGACAGUCUCAGUUUGUCUCAGGGAUUCUUGCAAGAGAAGGCAGCGUCCUUCAAUAAGGGUAGGGAAAGAUGUGAUGCAGACAUUUGCUUUGGUUUGAAGGUUGAUGGAGAGGGAAAGUGUGUAGCCACAAUCAAAGGUAGGGGCAUUUCCUUGUCAUAAAUUGUGCACAGAUCCUACUAACAGCUGUAAUUACAACCCAAUAAUUUAUUCAGUCUGUUGCUCUGAAGCACCCUCUCGUAGGUUGGUCCCGAAAUACUCAUCCUCCUUUUCCAUCCUUCAGCAGGGUGGAGCAGGGUCUUUUUAUCAGCUGGGUGCACAUUAAGAGAAACCCACUUAGAAAGAACUUCCACAUUUCUCCAUUUGCCUCGCUGAAGCCAGGUUUUAGCAUGGCUGCUUCUGCUGUAGAAGGUUUAGAAGAAUUCACUAGAGGCACAGAUUCUCAAAUUUUGCACUCUCAGGCUCUUCUUCAGACGGCUAAAAAUAUCUGAGGCCCAACACCGGAGAUGGUAACAAGAUGGUGGUAAAUGGAAGUGGACAGUGGCAGGAUCAGAAGGAAAUCACUGGCGUGUUCACCCUUUGGAAGUUGCUAAAUUCAUUGCUGCACUUCUUCGUGGCACAGAGUUCCAAAGUAAAGUGGUACCUCAGUUUAAGAACAGCCCUGUUUAUGAACUAUUCAAUAUAAGAACUCCACAAAACCGAAAGUAGUGUUCCGGUUAGCAAACUUUAUCUCGGUCCAUGAACGGAAGCUGAAUGGUGGAAGGGCACUGGCAGCUGGAGGCCUCAUUAGGGAAAGCAUGCCUCGAUUUAAGAACUGCUUUGGUUUAAGAACGGACUUCCGGAAUGGAUUAAGUUCGUAAACCGAGGUACCACUAUACAUAUUUUGCCCCUUGAGAUAUCCCAACUCAGUCUCCCCAUUUUAGAAAGAAUUUUCUGAAACAGAGACUCUAUAAGUGGAGAGAGGUUUUCAUUUUAUAUCCUCAUGCUUUAUUUGCAAAUACGCUUACCCAGAUGUUUUCAUGGUACAGAGGGUGCAGAUCAGCACACAUUUGUUCCAGGCCUGAAUAAACUGCCAGUGCCAAUCAGGCCACAGGAAGUUUUCUUGAACAGGCCAACCCUUACCUUACAUUCUGUACACAAGUGCAGAUGUGCAAGCACAAAGCAAUCAGGUGUGAUGCGUGCCCACACAUAAAUGUGGCCCGUGGUCCUUUAAAAUACCCAGAAGCAGCAACCAGGGAAGAUUCCUGCUUCCAUGGAUUUUAAAAGGGAUACCACAUUUUACACGCAUCACCCAUCAGAACUGACGAGAGUAUGUAUUUUGUAAUGGUAUCAAGUGUGCUUGGACACAAAGGUCAUGGCAAAGACAAACCUUAAAGCUGGAUUAGCCAUUAUCUUAAGUUGCCAUAAUGGCAGGUUUGUGAUCAAGCUGUAGCAACACUAGGGUUGUGCAUGCUGCUUUGAGGAAUGACUGAAUCCAGCUGUUUUGAGUUCAGAUAUAAUGCCCCAAAGUAGCUUGCAGGGCCAUUGGCUGCUGGAUUUGUUCUGCGAGCUGACAUGAGUGCUCAAUAGGAGCAGACAUCUUUUGUUCUGCUUCCCUGGUCCCUUUAUUGGAAUAUUAACCUCAUUCAGAAAAGCAUGCAGUUCAUGCCCACAGGGGGUGUCUGCCAUUAUGAUGACUGUGGAAUUACUAGGAGCAAUGCAUAAGCCAAAGGUUUAGCAGUGCCUGUUUCACAUCCCCUUUCUAGAUGUUCAGAAAGCAUACUGGAAGGGAAGCAGUAUUGCAACAGCACUGGAUCUUCUCCCUCUUCGGAUGUUCACUCAAGCAAGCUAUCCUUCAUUCAUUUGUUAGGCUAUACAUUUAUUCCUUUUACAAAGCAUAAUUCAAUUUUUGGUUGGACCUGUUAAUACAUCUUGUUAUAUCUGUUACAAAAAUAUUACUAUCAAACAAUCCAAGAUAACUAUUCAUGCAGAUUAUUAUGGGAAUACAUUUUUCCAUAAUCAGAGCUAGGGGACAAAAUUCUCCUUCAAAUAAUGAAUAAUUGUGAGAUGAGGCGGAAGCUCAUUAUAAGCCCCCAUUGCUGCUGUGAUUAAAAGGACCCUUCAAUGAGUUGAUAAGCAAAUCCCAUGUGACUGGCCCUUCAUCCCUUGCUAACCCGAAAUAUAGGCUACAAUUUGGGCUGUACAUUGACUUAGUCAUGAGUGAGCCCCAUGGAACCCUAGUGGACUUACUUCUUCGUAAAGAUGCCUAGAAUAAGGCAAAAUGCUUGCUAUUUUAAACACCUCUGAGGGCUAAGAGCCAACACAAUUCGUAUUCAGGAGAGCACAUAGGCAUGUUGUCAAAAACCGUCUCUAAACCUUCCUAUAGGUGACACUUCCUCAGAAUGACAAUUCUUAUCUCGAAGGACAAGUGAAGCAGUCAGGUUAAAUCAGUCAAUGACCAUCUGGGUAUUUGCCUUAAGAAAGCCAGGCGUAACUCUCUUCCGAGGAGUUUUGUUGUCACUUUAAGAUACUGUUGCUAUUGUUGCCCCAAAAGAUAUAGUCACAACUUUUGUAAGGCCGUAUAUGCAAUGGAACUUCUGGAGUUUUGAAAAUGCGGGCUUUUGUCAAGGUGUGAACUAGUGAUAUGCCAGAAUCUGUCCUCCGGUUUUUCAGACGUUUUCAUCCGCUGAAAGAAGCUUCAAUUUUAAUGCCGCAUUCUCCAGGCAAUUGAAAAUUCCUUUGGAAUUUCAGUGAAGUUAACCUUAACCUAGUGAGAUGGCUGGUGUGUUGUCAUUUUCUUUCCAUUAAUCAUUAUUCCAGCACUCUGUAGCCUCCCCUGCUGCCCACACUUCCUGUUUGAAAAAGCCCCAUGGGAGAAGGCACUGCAGGAUGUCUUCCUCUGACCUCUAAUUGAAACGCAGGAGCCAGAAGGCCUGGCUUGUUGUUGUUUUUUUAAAAAAAGUCUUUCCCUUAACCUUAAAAACAAACAAAUAAUCUUUCCACACUAAGGUCUUUAAAAGUAAAAAAAAACAAAAAAAACAAAUAAUGGUUGUCUGGUACCCAACAGUUAGUCUUUCCACUGUGCUGUUCUUAACUGGAAGGUGAAGCUGAGAGAACCAAGGGAUUUUCAGGAAGUGCAGGCACCCAGGAAGGCUGCAGAGUGUGGCCAGUAGAAAGACCUUGAGAUCCUUUUCGGUGAGCUUUUUCCAUGUGGGAUGAGUGACUACUAGCGGUACGCAAAUCUAUCAAUUUCAGCUUCUCUCAGUUUGUGAUUAUUAUUCAUUUCUGGUGCAAAAUUUGCCCAAUAUGCAAUUGUUUAUAUGUGAUAUUGCCUAAUAUAUGCAUCUUUACAGAGCAGCAUCCCUUACUAUAAUGCAUUUUUGUAUGUUGUUUUCAAGAAUAUGCAUUAUUCUGGACACUUUACAUGGCUGGGGAACUGUAUUGCAAAAUUUGGAGAGAAUUUUGAAGGAUAGCUGUGUUUUCGUUCUCAUAUUUUCCCUGUAAUUUAAAAUAUUAAUACUUUGAACUUGGCCUGGAAAAUGAAAAUAUCUGUGUGAGAGACAGAACAGAGUGGUUUUUCUCAGGGUGUGAAGCUGAGAAAGAUGGAAGCUGUCCCAAGUGAGGGAUGGGUGGAUGUGGAUCUCUGUGAAUUGAAGAUAGAAGGUUGAUAGAAUAUAUAUAUAUAAAAUUAUGUGGGUGUUUCUUUUUUCUUUCUUUUCUUUUUCUUUUUAUUAUUUUUCACUUUUUAGAUAUUAGCUUUGUUUGGUUUUUAUUGUAUAAUAUGGUAAAAACCAUUAAUAAAAUGGAUUUUAAAAAAGAACACAACUCCGCUUAGGUGGAAAGGAGUCAUAAAAGGUAAUGGUAAAGGACCCCUGACAGUUAAGUCCAGUCGCGAACAACUCUGGGGCUGUGGCGCUCAUUUUGCUUUACUAGCCAAGGGAGCCGACGUUUGUCUGCAGACAGUUUUCCCUGGUCAUGUGGCCAGCAUGACUAAACCUCUUCUGGCAAAACCAGAACAGCACACGGAAACACCAUUUACCUUCCUGCUGGAGCGGUACCUAUUUAUCUACUUGCACUUUGACGUGCUUUUGAACUGCUAGGUUGGCAGAAGCUGGGACAAAGCAACGGGAGCUCACCCCGUCAUGGGGAUUCGAACUGCUGAUCUUCCAAUCGGCAAGCCCAAGAGGUUCAGUGGUUUAGACCACAGUGGUGGUAAUGAAAUAAUAUAUUGCACAGCUCUCCUUUAGUAGAAUUAUUGCAAUGACACACAACUUUUUAAUUUUCAUGCCACCAUUAAUACAUUUGGGAACAUUAGUAACUAUAGCUUAAUAUUAGUUAAGUUAAAUUUUAUUAGUUAAGGCUGCAGUCCAAUACACACCUACUAAGCACUAAGACCCAUUGAACCAAGUAGGAUGUACUUCUGAGUAAGCAUACAUAGGAUUGUUCUGAAAUUCUUUGAAAUCAUUGGGCACAAUCCAGCCAAAGU
Non-coding RNA from Podarcis lilfordi (Lilford's wall lizard), 4625 nucleotides. The record is from the annotation of a GenBank genome assembly. Lineage: Eukaryota; Metazoa; Chordata; Lepidosauria; Squamata; Lacertidae.